This 492-nucleotide ribosomal RNA is filed under the name uncultured bacterium. Its description in RNAcentral is "partial 16S ribosomal RNA". It matches the Rfam family "Bacterial small subunit ribosomal RNA", at positions 28 to 507 of the family's 1533-position model. The record is from RNAcentral.
GAUGAACGCUAGCUACAGGCUUAACACAUGCAAGUCGAGGGGAAACGACAUCGAAAGCUUGCUUUUGAUGGGCGUCUACCGGCGCACGGGUGAGUAACGCGUAUCCAACCUGCCCAUCACUUGGGAAUAACCUUGCGAAAGUAAGACUAAUACCCAAUGAUAUCCCACGAAGGCAUCGGAAUGGGAUUAAAGAUUUAUCGGUGAUGGAUGGGGAUGCGUCUGAUUAGCUUGUUGGCGGGGUAACGGCCCACCAAGGCAACGAUCAGUAGGGGUUCUGAGAGGAAGGUCCCCCACAUUGGAACUGAGACACGGUCCAAACUCCUACGGGAGGCAGCAGUGAGGAAUAUUGGUCAAUGGGCGAGAGCCUGAACCAGCCAAGUAGCGUGCAGGAAGACGGCCCUAUGGGUUGUAAACUGCUUUUAUAAGGGAAUAAAGUGGGUCACGUGUGACUUUUUGCAUGUACCUUAUGAAUAAGGACCGGCUAAUUCCGUG